RNAcentral lists this ribosomal RNA (406 nucleotides) under uncultured bacterium. RNAcentral describes it as "partial 16S ribosomal RNA". It matches the Rfam family "Bacterial small subunit ribosomal RNA", at positions 30 to 526 of the family's 1533-position model. The record is from RNAcentral.
AUUGAACGCUGGCGGCAGGCUUAACACAUGCAAGUCGAGCGAGCGGCGGACGGGUGAGUAAUGUCUGGGAAAGCGCGUGAUGGAGGGAGAUCUCUACUGGAAACGGUAGCUAAUACCGCAUACUCGCAGAUGCGCCCAGAUGGGAUUAGCUAGUAGGUGGGGUAAUGGCUCACCUAGGCGCCGAUCCCUAGCUGGUCUGAGAGGAUGACCAGCCACACUGGAACUGAGACACGGUCCAGACUCCUACGGGAGGCAGCAGUGGGGAAUAUUGCACAAUGGGCGCAAGCCUGAUGCAGCCAUGCCGCGUGUAUGAAGAAGGCCUUCGGGUUGUAAAGCACUUUCAGCAAGGAGGCGUUACUCGCAGAAGAAGCACCGGCUAACUCCGUGCCAGCAGCCGCGGUAAUAC